This 248-nucleotide ribosomal RNA is filed under the name uncultured microorganism. RNAcentral's name for it is "partial small subunit ribosomal RNA". It matches the Rfam family "Bacterial small subunit ribosomal RNA", at positions 524 to 771 of the family's 1533-position model. The record is from RNAcentral.
UACGUAGGUGGCAAGCGUUGUCCGGAAUUAUUGGGCGUAAAGCGCGCGUAGGCGGGAUAAUCAGUCUGUUGUGAAAUUGCGGGGCUCAACCCCGUAUUGGCAAUGGAAACUGUUAUUCUUGAGUGCAGGAGAGGAAAGCGGAAUUCCCAGUGUAGCGGUGAAAUGCGUAGAUAUUGGGAGGAACACCAGUGGCGAAGGCGGCCUUCUGGACUGUGUCUGACGCUGAGGAGCGAAAGCCGAGGGAGNCG